RNAcentral lists this ribosomal RNA (145 nucleotides) under uncultured Chlorophyta. RNAcentral's name for it is "partial small subunit ribosomal RNA". It matches the Rfam family "Eukaryotic small subunit ribosomal RNA", at positions 1296 to 1460 of the family's 1831-position model. Lineage: Eukaryota; Viridiplantae; Chlorophyta. The record is from RNAcentral.
AGUUGGUGGAGUGAUUUGUCUGGUUAAUUCCGUUAACGAACGAGACCUCAGCCUGCUAAAUAGUGACGCGAAGCUUCUGCUUCGCGGCGCACUUCUUAGAGGGACUAUUGGCGUUUAGCCAAUGGAAGUUUGAGGCAAUAACAGG